AUUGAACGCUGGCGGAAUGCUUUACACAUGCAAGUCGAACGGCAGCAUAGGUGCUUGCACCUGAUGGCGAGUGGCGAACGGGUGAGUAAUACAUCGGAACGUGCCCAGUCGUGGGGGAUAACGUAGCGAAAGUUACGCUAAUACCGCAUACGAUCUAAGGAUGAAAGCGGGGGACCGUAAGGCCUCGCGCGAUUGGAGCGGCCGAUGUCAGAUUAGGUAGUUGGUGAGGUAAGGGCUCACCAAGCCGACGAUCUGUAGCUGGUCUGAGAGGACGACCAGCCACACUGGGACUGAGACACGGCCCAGACUCCGACGGGAGGCAGCAGUGGGGAAUUUUGGACAAUGGACGCAAGUCUGAUUCAGCCAUUCCGCGUGCAGGACGAAGGCCUUCGGGUUGUAAACUGCUUUUGUACGGAACGAAAAAGCUCUUACUAAUACUAGGAGUCCAUGACGGUACCGUAAGAAUAAGCACCGGCUAACUACGUGCCAGCAGCCGCCGUAA
This 502-nucleotide ribosomal RNA is filed under the name uncultured bacterium. Its description in RNAcentral is "partial 16S ribosomal RNA". It matches the Rfam family "Bacterial small subunit ribosomal RNA", at positions 30 to 523 of the family's 1533-position model. The record is from RNAcentral.